UGCGUUUUUGGUUCUACAGUUUAAUUUGUGAAUAAUCGACAUACUAUGGGCUUUAUUAUAAUAAGUCAAAAUUUAGGGAGCUAGUAGGGUUUACAAAAGUUAGGGUCUCACAAUCACUCCGUUGCCGCCUCAUCUCUCCUUGAUUCUCCGAUUUCCCGGCGACUCUCUGGUAACGAUUCUGACCAGACCUUGAGCAGAUACUGCAAGAAUUACAACACUGCUGGCUCCAUCCUGCUGAAAUCCGUGAAGUUCUUCGGAACCAUGAAAAGUUUCACUUGACACCAAAACCACUUGCUAGGCCACCAGGUAUUCCACUAGCGGACCUUCAACCAGCAUGGAAGCGACGAAGAACAACAAGCUUGUGUUAUUGAGACAUUCUCUGAGCAGUGGAUUUGGGCCAAGCCUCUCAGACUGGAAAUAAAGGAUUCUAGCAAGUUUGUAUUCUGGAAUUGUUUGCAUUUGGAACUACUAGUCUCAGGUAUGUAACAACUAUGCAAGUUAGCUAAGAAACAUUAGUUACCAUCCAACUGAAUUAUGAUAAGUACCUUCUCAGGCCUCACAAUGCCAUGCUUCUUGUGAUACAAUGCUUUUUUGUUUUCUGUGGUGUCUUUUUAUUAUUGUAUAUUUUCAAAUGUGUGCUUGUACAUUUUUUUAUUCUUUUUCUUUUUUAAUUUUAUUCUGCACAAUGUUACUGAUAGGCAUUUUUGGGGAUUCAUUGUAUUGUCUUAUAGAAAUACGUUCAUUUUAUAUAAUUUUUGUAACAUUUUUAAUUUUUGUCUUCUAAAGAAAAUACCUAGGGGACCUACUUUCUGUAAUAUCAUUGUAUUGCAUGGGAGACUUUGGCAUUUUUAUCAAGAAUUCUUUUGCGAAUAGAAGUGAUCACAUUUUGUGGGUAUUUAACUUUGUAGGGGUGGUAUACCAACUCUUGCAAUGAAAUGAAGCCAAUCUUGAUUUAAAAAAAAAAAAAAAAAAAAAAAAUAGUAACGAACACUUGAACUCAGUUUCGUUUUAUAUUAUUUGCCUUAGAAAUAAUCAACUUCUAUGGCACAUAGUUAGUUUCUGAACAUUUCUAUUCCUUUAUGAGAAUAUCACAAGAAUAGAGAGCUCUUUUCACAUAUCAAUGGUUUUGAAGGCCUUAUGUGUUACUGUGUCCCCCUAGACCAAGUUAUCACUGGUGUCCUGUUUUCAUUUUGAAGCUCUUCUGAAUUAUCUGUUAUUUCUUGCCUUCUAAAAGAUAUUAGUGUCAUUGGUAUAUUAGGGAUGUUCUAAAGAAUAAGAAACAAGAUGAAGUCUUUUAUUAUCAUAAACUGAUCAUGAUUACUUUUUUAUCCUUAUGGUGAUUACUCAAGCAUGUGAUGCUAACUAAAAUUUCAUUUUCUACUAUUAUAGAUUAUGGUGAAGUCUUUUGAGGUUAUUGAGUUACCAGAUCUGCAAAGUUCAUUGCAUGCAAACAACGGGUUGUUGUUGCUGCUAAUGAUACAUUUAUUCGUGUAUGCAAUUACAAUACAAUGGAUAAGGUCAAAGUGUUCGACGCACACACUGAUUAUAUUAGGUGUGUGGUUGUUCAUCCUACCCUUCCAUAUGUGCUGUCUUCAUCUGAUGACAUGCUUAUAAAGCUUUGGGAUUGGGAGAAGGGCUGGGUGUGUACUCAAAUUUUUGAGGGUCAUUCCCAUUAUGUUAUGCAAGUGACAUUUAAUCCAAAAGAUACCAACACAUUUGCUAGUGCAUCUCUUGAUCGCACUAUAAAGGUAUGGAUUGAAUUGUCUAUUUCUAACUUGUUAACCACAAUUUUUUGUAUAAUUGAGUACAAAUGAUAGUCAUGCAUUGGAACUUUUUUUUUCUUUCUUAACUCUCUUUCCGGGUUUGGAAUCUUGGCUCCCCUGACCCAAAUUUUACAGUGGAUGCCCAUUUGAAAGGGGUAAAUUGUGUUGAUUACUUCACAGGUGGUGAUAAGCCUUACCUGAUAACUUGUUCUGAUGAUUUUGAAUGCCAUUUCAAUGAAACCCUGGAGAAGAAGAUGUGAUGAGUUGAGUUGUUUUGCUAUGUCCGUAGAUAUAAUUCAAAUUACAAUCUAUUCAUUGAAUAGUUGAAUGUUACAAACAAUGCAUAUGGCGCUAGCCUUACAUAUUGGAAAUGGUACUUUUGAAAUCUCUAUAUAUACAAUCAGGAUAUUACAUACUAA
Camellia sinensis is the source of this 2182-nucleotide non-coding RNA. Lineage: Eukaryota; Viridiplantae; Streptophyta; Magnoliopsida; Ericales; Theaceae. The record is from RefSeq and is a predicted model, not a curated record.